This is a long non-coding RNA of Cebus imitator (Panamanian white-faced capuchin), 449 nucleotides long. RefSeq lists it as uncharacterized. The transcript has 3 exons. The record is from RefSeq and is a predicted model, not a curated record. Lineage: Eukaryota; Metazoa; Chordata; Mammalia; Primates; Cebidae.
CAGGCAUGCGCGCUCCCUUCUGGGCCAGCCGUUGCGAGGCGCCGGGCGCCAGCCGUUAGCCGUUUCGGUUUGCGCGUAAACGGCGAGUCUGGCUACUCAACGCAGGAUUUCCAGCGGGGGCGCACAAACCUCGGGAGGGAAGAUGGAAGCCGCAGCUACUCUAAAGGCAGCCCCAGGCUGGCUAAAGCGGUCCCUGGUUCGGAAACCGAGGCCUGAGUGCUCGGGCUCCACCUGGCCUGGUUCAGCGCGUGACCCACGCAGCUCUGGAUUCCAGGCAGGAAGCUCGAAGGUCAGGGAGAGCACCUCUGCCGGUGAAUUAUUCAUCCCCUAUUGAGUUAUCGUGACGCCCUGUGGCUUUGGGAAACCUCUCCACAACCAAGUGGAGCCACAGCUCUCCGCCAACGAAGACAGAGUCUCACUCUGUUACCCAGGCUGGAGUGCAGUGGUGC